RNAcentral lists this transfer RNA (85 nucleotides) under Felis catus (domestic cat). It matches the Rfam family "tRNA". Rfam says of the family: Transfer RNA (tRNA) molecules are approximately 80 nucleotides in length. Their secondary structure includes four short double-helical elements and three loops (D, anti-codon, and T loops). Further hydrogen bonds mediate the characteristic L-shaped molecular structure. tRNAs have two regions of fundamental functional importance: the anti-codon, which is responsible for specific mRNA codon recognition, and the 3' end, to which the tRNAs corresponding amino acid is attached (by aminoacyl-tRNA synthetases). tRNAs cope with the degeneracy of the genetic code in two manners: having more than one tRNA (with a specific anti-codon) for a particular amino acid; and 'wobble' base-pairing, i.e. permitting non-standard base-pairing at the 3rd anti-codon position. The record is from Rfam by way of RNAcentral. Lineage: Eukaryota; Metazoa; Chordata; Mammalia; Carnivora; Felidae.
GCCUGGGUGGCUCAGUCGGUUAAGCGUCCGACUUCGGCUCAGGUCACGAUUUCACGGUUCGUGGGUUCGAGCCCCGCAUCGGGCU